Molecule: long non-coding RNA, 4035 nt
Organism: Amphiprion ocellaris (clown anemonefish)
Lineage: Eukaryota; Metazoa; Chordata; Actinopteri; Pomacentridae
Exons: 4
Source: RefSeq, a predicted model, not a curated record
UACGGUGCAUUGACUGUACAUACAUUUUUUUUCGUGAGUUUUCAUGGUCAGAAUGAGAGAUCAGGUGGCCGAUCUUAAAAUAAAUCAAUAUUGAUUUUUUUUAUAGAGCGUUAAAGUUUUGCGAAGCCAGGGGGCGGGACUACUUGAUUGACAGUCCGGUCUGGAAUGAUUGACAGGUUCUAUGGAGGAGACAGCAGAGACUCUGCUCUCCUCGUUUGGAUUAAUUCUGAUAUAAUAACUGUUGGUUUAUUUAUCGGUGGAGCAGCAGAACAUUUUCCACAGACAGUUUUUCUGCCCGUUGGCUUGUUUUAACCAAUUUUCUACCUUCGGCUGAUUCUACCAGCAGACACUGAAAGGACUCUAAUAGUUCGAGUGAAAGUAGCAAUUCCUCCUUAAGGUCAGAGAUUGCAGCAUCUGAGGGCCUCUUCAAAAGAAGACGUAGCUGAUGAAGGCGUUCUGGAGCAGGACCAGAAAGACCACGACCAAGCAGCCUUGAGAUCUUAGGCAGCGUCUCCCUCAGGUCCUUCUCUAUCUCCCCACACAUCCACCAACCACUGGAACACAUCUCCAAAGUUCUGCCAGGCCAGCUCAGCUUCCCCUCAGAAGAAGUGCCGCCACCUGCCAGAUGAAGGAGCCUUUUGAGAGGCAGCUGGCAUCGUGAUUGGACUGUACUUUGGUCUGUUCCAAUCCAGCUUCAGCUCCAGAGACGGCAGGCUGGACGAGUCAACGGAGGCCGGAUGGACGAAGGCAUGCAGCUGAGUACAAUCCAGAAAACAACAGAGGAGGAGUGUAGUGGCCCAGUAUAGCCUUCGACCAAAGAACUACAGACUCUUCACAACCUGCUCAAACUCUUGGUACAGGACCUCACCACACGGGUCAAGAAGGUUUCCGUCUCAUUUCUACUCUGAAGCUCACCUUCUCCUGCUCAAACUGCUGACAAAUGUUUCUGCUGCUCUAAAGUCUGCUCUCCAGAACUUCCUAAAAACUCUCAAAGUCUCUUCUGCUGCAGGUUGCUUUGUAGAACUGUUCCAGAAAACCUCACUAAACCACAUGGAGGGGCCUCAAGAUAGUCGUCCAAAUGAAACCAUACAAAAACCAAACUAACACAACCCAAACGCUAAAGUCUACUGCAGCCUACCAGAGAACCUCUGAGACAAGAGAAUCAGGACAGGAACUCUUACCUUCUGGACAACCAACGUUGGUUCACAAACAAGAAUACAGAAUGUGUCUGACCAAAAACCUCUGAAGACUCACUACAGCCAAGAUAAAGACACAACUCAGCUGCACCAAAUCCGCUAAUCACUGCACACAUUAGCACCAUGUGCUAACUGUGGCUAAAGAACCUCAUUUACCAAGACAACUAUCCAGUACAAAGCCCUAAAACACACCAAGAAACACAUUAAAGCCUAUUUUACUGCUGGAAGCUGCAAGCCAACGCCUAAAGAACAAACUAAUGCAACGGAGCCAAACCCGGUUCACUGGUGAAGAGAAACAGAGGAAAUGUUUGACUGCAGCUAAAUAAAGCAGGAAGACACUGAGCUGCUCAGGUGUUCCUGAUAACACCAAGCAGCCACCUGGACAGCCAAUAGGAACACAGCUUACUGGAAGUCCAGAGGGCUGGGUUAGUGAAGGAAAUUUAGUUUAAAGUUGAAGCAGAAAGUAAACAAAGAAAGUUGAAAACCACCUUCUGAUCCCUGAAAUCUCUGAGUUUUCACACAAAGAACGCCUGAACAUGUCAAAUUGGUUUCAUAGUAGAACCAUCAUUGUAAAAACGUCAUAGUAUGGUGUGUUGCUCAAAAAACAUUAUGACCCGGCUGUCUAGGGUCGCCGAAGAGCUACACAAAAACAGGACAAACACUGGUUUCCAGGGGGUUAGGCGGGUAUUUAUUUGAAAGAGUAAGUUUACAACAACACAACAUGUGAGCAGAAAAAUCAGUGUGUGUCUUUAGUUCAGCUGAAAAUAUUAGUUUUUGUCUUUUUUAUUGACCAAACUUUUCAGGAAGUAGAUGAAGAAUAAUUAAAGCUCUCAUGUAUAAGUCCAACUUAUUUUGGAUCCUUGUGGAGAGUUUAAUCUUAGUUUGUACAGCUGUUGAGUUUUUAGAGUCACAUGGAUUGUUUUGACAUUUAAUAACCGAGUCCUGAAAUAAAAUUACAGUUGUGGAUUUCUGUCAUUUAGUCUGGACUAAACAAAUAACAGCAGCAUAAAUCUCAAACGUCAUUAUGAGGAGUCUGGAUUGAGGUUUCUCACUUGAUAAUGAUCAAAAAAUGAAAUUUAGUUUGGUUUAAAGGAAUAUUCUACCUUAAAUCUUUAAUUGUUGACCCAAAAGGUUGGUUUCAGGAAGUAUUCCACCUACAAGGUCCUCAAACAUCCACCUUAAAGGAACAUUCCACCAAAAAUCCUUGGACAUGUACCUAAAAUGUUGGUUUAACCGACUAUUCCAUCCAAAAUCCUCAAAGAGACCUGAGGGGCUGGUUAAAAGGAAUAUUCCACCUAAAACCCCAAAUAUUGACCCGAAAGGGUGGUUUAGAGAAAAUCCUUCAAUGAAGACCAAAAAAGUUAGUAUGGAGGAAUAUUCCACCUGAAAUGUAGACUUGAGAAGUUGGUUCGGAAGAAUAUACCAUCCUAAACAUCCUUAAAUGUAGACUAAAAGACGGUUUGGAAGAAAAUUCCACCUAAAAUCCUCCAAUGGAGACCUAAAAGGUGAGUUUAAUGGUAUAUUCCACCUAAAAUUCACUACUGUAGACCUUGGAGGUUGGUCUGAUGGUAUAUUCCACCCAACAUCCUUGAACAUAAACUUAAAAAAUUCGUUCAAAGGAAUAUUCCACCUAAAAUCCUUUAAUGUAGACCAAAAAAUCUUGGUGUAAAGGAGUAUUCCACCUUAAAUGUAAACCUAAAGGAUGGUUUAGAGUAAUAUUCUACUCUAAAAUAUUACAAUGUAGACCUAAAAGGUUGAUCUGAUGGUAUAUUCUACUCAACAUCCUGGAACAUUUACCUAAAAGGUUGGUUUAAUGGUAUAUUCCCAGAAGAACCCUUGAACAUCGGGCUUAAUGGUAUAUUCCACCCAAGAUACUUGUACAUAUAUCAAGAAGUCAGUGUAAAGGAAACGUAGACCUAAAAGGAUUGUUUAAAGGAAUAUUUAAACAAUUAUUUUCAUUAUUUAAUAAUUUGUCAUCAGUCAGAACCCUGGCAAACUUAUUUUCAUCAGUUUUUUAGUGGAAGUCACAAAUAAAGGAGCUCUUGGUUUUUCCCGGCGUUACUGAGUCAAAAGCUGCUGUUUCAACACAGAACGUUCACAUGCAUCCUCAAACCUCUCAGCACUCAAACACCCACAGACAGGAGGCCGGCUGGGCCGAGGCUCGGCGGCGUCCUCAGACCCACGAGUCGGGGAGUCGCUGAACUUGUUGGUCCGGUUUGAAGGCCUCCGUGUGGUCCAGUAGAAGUCCACGUAGUCGGUGUUGGCUUUGAACCGCAGUGACUGGCUGCCAUCAGGUGGACCGGCUCGUCCUCGUAGGGCUCCUCCUGUAGCCUUGAGGGAACCACAGGAACAUUCAGUAGCUGUUGGAGUUCUUCCUGUCAGGCUCGUGGUAAAACGGCUCUGAAGAAUCUUGUACUUGUCUUAUCUGGAACAAUCUAACAGCCUAAACUGUUAACAGUGGUGUAAAGAAGCAAACACACAGGCAUAGAUUAGGACUCAAACUAGACUUAUUUUAGAAAACAAAUCAACUUAGAGGCAUUUGUUCACACAUGUGGCUGAAUAGGAGGCCGUCCAAUCAGAUUUGAGGUCUUCACUCUGUAGGUUGGUUGUUUGGUGAGACUCUUGGACCUCCAUCAGCUGACGUGGAUGUUUGAUGGUCUUCUUCUCUAGUGCCAGAUGAUUCAUCCAUGAAUUCAGCAGCUACAGACUGAAAUGAAGCUCAUGCUGCCGUUAUUGAAUUCCUGUUCCAGAUCAAAUGUUCAGAGCUCACCUUGAAUGCAGCCGUCUGCUGUCUGAUAGUUUUUCUCAUUGUAGUCUUCAAUAAAGUCUUUUUCCUCAU